GCCUCUGUAGCUCAGUUGGUUAGAGCGCUGCACCGGAAUCGCAGGGACGUAGGUUCGAUUCCUACCAGAGGAC
RNAcentral lists this transfer RNA (73 nucleotides) under Paramuricea clavata. It matches the Rfam family "tRNA". From Rfam's summary of the family: Transfer RNA (tRNA) molecules are approximately 80 nucleotides in length. Lineage: Eukaryota; Metazoa; Cnidaria; Anthozoa; Malacalcyonacea; Plexauridae. The record is from Rfam by way of RNAcentral.